GAGGGUUUUAAGCUGUCGCUGCUAACGACGGGAAGGGUUUGAGUACCCAACCUUCU
This 56-nucleotide transfer RNA is filed under the name Dicrocoelium chinensis. RNAcentral's name for it is "tRNA-Ser". Lineage: Eukaryota; Metazoa; Platyhelminthes; Trematoda; Plagiorchiida; Dicrocoeliidae. The record is from RNAcentral.